RNAcentral lists this long non-coding RNA (594 nucleotides) under Ovis aries (sheep). RNAcentral describes it as "lncRNA (ENSOARG00000026862.1)". The record is from RNAcentral. Lineage: Eukaryota; Metazoa; Chordata; Mammalia; Artiodactyla; Bovidae.
GUUUAGAUCGAAAGGACCUGUGACUCUUCCAAAGGGAACUUUUACACACAGAGAAACCAAAACUAAGAGUUGUGUAAGUUUCCUGAGGUUAAGUGGUUAGAGAGAGAAGUGAUAGGAGGACCUGAUUCUCUCGCGACCAUGAUCACGUGAGAUUUCAGAGGGGCGCUGGUGAAGGCUGGAGCCAGACCUUUUCCUUCUGCCUCCCGUCCUCACUCUUCUGCAGCAGGGAUAACAACUUUCAGCACUGGAUGCAUGGAGUCUCAAAGAGUUGGACACAACUGAGCGACUGAACGGAACUGAACCGAGUGAUGCAAAAGUCAGUCUGUUCUUGGCCUCUACUUUAACCAGCUCUUCAUUCCUGCUGUGAAAUUCCUAAUGUUAGCUGCUAAUCGUCAUGUAAUUCUACCAAUUUGAGUUGUAUAUUUGUUUCCCAAAUUUGUACCUUUCCCUGUAAUUAUAUAAUGUGUUAUAUCAACCAACAAAAUAAUUGCCAAAUAUUUGCUCUAUGAAAACUGUUGAGCUCUUUAAGAAGAUUUGAUGAAAUAAAUUGCAAUAAAGGAUUCCCAGUCUUCUUGUGAAAAAGUAAGAAAAAAG